AACGCACAUUGCGCCCGGUGGUAAUCCGCCGGGCAUGCCUGUUCGAGCGUCAUUUCUAUGCUCAGGCCCUACCGCUUAGCGGUAAGGGCUCUGGUUUUGGGGCAUGCAGCGCAAGCUGCAGUUCCUAAUUGCAUCGGCGUACACGUGUAUGCUGCCCCCUGCGUAGUGGUUUUACAUAUCGCAUCGGGCCGUGCCGUGGUGCUGCCGCAACACCCAUUUUUUCUAGUUUGACCUCGAAUCAGGUAGGGUUACCCGCUGAACUUAA
RNAcentral lists this unclassified non-coding RNA (265 nucleotides) under uncultured fungus. RNAcentral describes it as "partial contains 5.8S ribosomal RNA, internal transcribed spacer 2, and large subunit ribosomal RNA". The stretch from base 1 to 52 matches the Rfam family "5.8S ribosomal RNA", at positions 103 to 154 of the family's 154-position model. The record is from RNAcentral. Lineage: Eukaryota; Fungi.